GACGAACGCUGGCGGCGUGCUUAACACAUGCAAGUCGAACGGAAAGGCCCUGCUUGCAGGGUGCUCGAGUGGCGAACGGGUGAGUAACACGUGGGUGAUCUGCCCCUUACUUUGGGAUAAGCCUGGGAAACUGGGUCUAAUACUGGAUAGGACCAUGCUGUAGGUGGUGUGGUGGAAAGAUUAGUUUCGGUAAGGGAUGAGCUCGCGGCCUAUCAGCUUGUUGGUGGGGUAAUGGCCUACCAAGGCGUCGACGGGUAGCCGGCCUGAGAGGGUGGACGGCCACAUUGGGACUGCGAUACGGCCCAGACUCCUACGGGAGGCAGCAGUGGGGAGUAUUGCACCAUAGGAGCAAGCCUGAUGCAGCGACGCCGCGUGGGGGAUGACGGCCUUCGGGUUGUAAACUCCUUUCAGCCAUGACGAAGCCCUUGUGGUGACGGUAGUGGUAGAAGAAGCACCGGCUAACUACGUG
Molecule: ribosomal RNA, 469 nt
Filed under: uncultured bacterium
Lineage: Bacteria
Description: partial 16S ribosomal RNA
Rfam family: Bacterial small subunit ribosomal RNA
Source: RNAcentral